UUACGGCCACAUCACGUUGAAACACAUGUUCACGUACAAUCACCGAAGUUAAACAACGUCGAGCCUGGUUAGUACCUGUAUGGGUGACCACUUGGGAAUAUUACAUGUUGGC
Molecule: non-coding RNA, 112 nt
Organism: Acanthosepion pharaonis
Lineage: Eukaryota; Metazoa; Mollusca; Cephalopoda; Sepiida; Sepiidae
Source: the annotation of a GenBank genome assembly